CUUCUUCCAAUCUUCCAAUCUCCUCACUUCCAACCCCAUGGUAACAGAACGUCACUAGCUUGUCCCCUUCUGUUUUCCUCCCAUUUUGCCAAAAUCUAAGUCUGAAACUCCAUUCUUCGUGAGGGGUUUACAGUGCUUAGAAGCUGCCUCGUGUUCCUGCAUUAGGAUAUGACUUUAACUAAAAGAGGGAGAGGUAGACCCCGAGGUGGAAGAUCAUGUGGUCAAGAUAGAUCGUCAUGCAAAACAAAACCUAGAAACACAAUGCCAAUUUCUACAUUUAACCUUAGAGACGAUAUGUUAGGUGACUCAGAUGACUCAACCGAGCCACCUGAUGUUGUGCCAAUGACAGAAUUUCUUGAUGCCGGGCUCCAUUCUCCAAUUAGCAGAAAUGAUAUUGAAGUACCUAUGCGGAAAUGUGUGCGCGGACCAUCUAAGUGCACAGAAUUUGAUAAAAUUCGAAAAUAUGAAAAAAUAUUUUUGAAAAUAAAGGAUGGGGAGACAGCCCCUUGUUGUGAGAACACUAUGUUGUAUACAACAAGGG
Molecule: long non-coding RNA, 541 nt
Organism: Juglans microcarpa x Juglans regia
Lineage: Eukaryota; Viridiplantae; Streptophyta; Magnoliopsida; Fagales; Juglandaceae
Exons: 3
Source: RefSeq, a predicted model, not a curated record